RNAcentral lists this transfer RNA (73 nucleotides) under Stegodyphus mimosarum. It matches the Rfam family "tRNA". From Rfam's summary of the family: Transfer RNA (tRNA) molecules are approximately 80 nucleotides in length. Their secondary structure includes four short double-helical elements and three loops (D, anti-codon, and T loops). Further hydrogen bonds mediate the characteristic L-shaped molecular structure. tRNAs have two regions of fundamental functional importance: the anti-codon, which is responsible for specific mRNA codon recognition, and the 3' end, to which the tRNAs corresponding amino acid is attached (by aminoacyl-tRNA synthetases). tRNAs cope with the degeneracy of the genetic code in two manners: having more than one tRNA (with a specific anti-codon) for a particular amino acid; and 'wobble' base-pairing, i.e. permitting non-standard base-pairing at the 3rd anti-codon position. The record is from Rfam by way of RNAcentral. Lineage: Eukaryota; Metazoa; Arthropoda; Arachnida; Araneae; Eresidae.
GCUUUCGAAGUGUAACUGGUAGCACAUUCGACUAGCAACCGAAAAAUCCGGAGUUUGAAUUCCAGCGAAAGUA